AUGGGGUUUAAGCCUCUCAUACCGGUAUUAGAGGGCCAUGAAAUGCUUGGAACAGAGCCAACCCUUCUGCCACACCUUCACGUCCAGAAGAACCAAGGACCUUCCCUUCACUCAGGUGGUAUAAAGCCAAGAACCAACAAGUACCUUUCUCAUACCACCUGUGUUCACUACCCAGAGGAUGACCAUGGGGACAACACAGACGCCCACAUGGGUGUUAUUAUGGAUGGCUCUGGCGAUUGGUUUAACUGCCUCUCAAAGUGAGGAUACAACAAAGGCCACAGUUAACAUCAUCCCCUCAAUGUCAAGGUUGCCUGAGAUUGCAGGUAAGCUUCAUAAUACAUGUGCUAUACAGAUGUGAGACCUGAGGAUGGUGACAAUGAUUAACACUGCAGCCUUACAUAUCCACAGACAAUGGUGAAAGGACAAUAACCAUGAUGGAGACAGUCAUAGCAAGUUGUGCAACAGGUUUUGUGGAUUAGCUGGUUUUGAGAAGCAUGAAGUAGGCUAGCUCAUUCAUUUAUUGUUCAAGUUCAUAAAUAUGAUAGAGAUUGGAUGUACUUUGAAAAGUCUUUGUUUUUUAGUUGAUUAAAUAUUGAAUUUGGCGUUUACUACUGUAGCCCAUAGAACGCUUUGAAUAACACAUUCAUUAAUGCCAAAAAAGUUUCUGGAGGUAUAAGAAAGUUCAGGAAAUAUUUGUGUUUUUUAUACAUAUUUAACCAUAUAAUAACCAUAUUGUUAUUUAUUUUAUUUAUAUAUAUAUAUAUAUAUAUAUAUAUAUAUAUAUAUAUAUAUAUACAGUAUAUUUGCUCCUUUGUACCCCAGUAUCUCUACUUGCACAUUCAUCUUCUGCACAUCUAUCACUCCAGUGUUUAUUUGCGAAAUUGUAAUUAUUUUGCCACUACGGCCUAUUUAUUAUUGCCUUACCUCCCUAAUCUUACUUCAUUUGCACACACUGUAUAUAGAUUUUUCUAUUGUGUAAUUGACUGCAUGUCUGUUUAUUCCAAGUGUAACUCUGUGAUGUUUGUGUCAGACUGCUUUGCUUUAUCUUGGCCAGGUCGCAGUUGUAAAUGAGAACUUCUUCUCAACUGGGCAACCUGGUUAAAUAAAUGUAAAAUAAAAGACAUAACCCAUUUUUUUUUGUUGGCACAAAACU
This 1153-nucleotide long non-coding RNA is filed under the name Oncorhynchus mykiss (rainbow trout). RNAcentral describes it as "lncRNA (ENSOMYG00000016423.2)". Lineage: Eukaryota; Metazoa; Chordata; Actinopteri; Salmoniformes; Salmonidae. The record is from RNAcentral.